UACGGGGGGGGCAAGCGUUGUUCGGAAUUACUGGGCGUAAAGGGCUCGUAGGCGGCCAACUAAGUCAGACGUGAAAUCCCUCGGCUUAACCGGGGAACUGCAUCUGAUACUGGAUGGCUUGAGUUCGGGAGAGGGAUGUGGAAUUCCAGGUGUAGCGGUGAAAUGCGUAGAUAUCAGGAGGAACACCGGUGGCGAAGGCGGUUCUCUGGGCAUGUCCUGACGCUGAGACGCGAAAGCGUGGGGAGCAAACAGG
Molecule: ribosomal RNA, 253 nt
Filed under: uncultured bacterium
Lineage: Bacteria
Description: partial 16S ribosomal RNA
Rfam family: Bacterial small subunit ribosomal RNA
Source: RNAcentral